Molecule: ribosomal RNA, 435 nt
Filed under: uncultured bacterium
Lineage: Bacteria
Description: bacterial SSU rRNA
Rfam family: Bacterial small subunit ribosomal RNA
Source: RNAcentral
AACGCGAAGAACCUUACCUGGGCUUGAACUGCACUUGACAAAGGUAGAAAUAUCUCUCCCGCAAGGGCAAGUGUAGAGGUGCUGCAUGGCUGUCGUCAGCUCGUGCCGUGAGGUGUUGGGUUAAGUCCCGCAACGAGCGCAACCCUUACCCUUAGUUGCCACCCGCAAGGGGGAACUCUAAGGGGACUGCUCCGGAUAACGGAGAGGAAGGUGGGGAUGAGGUCAAGUCAGCAUGGCCUUUAUGUCCAGGGCUACACACGUGCUACAAUGGUCGGUACAAACCGUCGCAAACCCGUGAGGGGGAGCUAAUCGGAAAAAGCCGACCUCAGUUCGGAUUGGAGUCUGCAACUCGACUCCAUGAAGCUGGAAUCGCUAGUAAUCGCGGAUCAGAACGCCGCGGUGAAUACGUUCCCGGGCCUUGUACACACCGGAGUA